This 446-nucleotide ribosomal RNA is filed under the name uncultured bacterium. RNAcentral describes it as "partial 16S ribosomal RNA". It matches the Rfam family "Bacterial small subunit ribosomal RNA", at positions 338 to 795 of the family's 1533-position model. The record is from RNAcentral.
CCUACGGGAGGCUGCAGUCGAGAAUCAUUCACAAUGGGGGAAACCCUGAUGGUGCGACGCCGCGUGGGGGAAUGAAGGUCUUCGGAUUGUAAACCCCUGUCAUGUGGGAGCAAAUUAAAAAGAUAGUACCACAAGAGGAAGAGACGGCUAAACCUGUGCCAGCAGCCGGGGGAAUACAGAGGUCUCAAGCGGUGUUCGGAAUCACUGGGCGUAAAGCGUGCGUGGGCUGUUACGUAAGUCGUGUGUGAAAGGCGCGGGCUAAACCCGCGGAUGGCACAUGAUACUGCGAGACUAGAGUAAUGGAGGGGGAACCGGAAUUCUCGGUGUAGCAGUGAAAUGCGUAGAUAUCGAGAGGAACACUCGUGGCGAAGGCGGGUUCCUGGACAUUAACUGACGCUGAGGCACGAAGGCCAGGGGAGCGAAAGGGAUUAGAUACCCCGGUAGUC